GAAAUGCGAUAAGUAAUGUGAAUUGCAGAAUUCAGUGAAUCAUCGAAUCUUUGAACGCACAUUGAGCCCGCCAGUAUUCUGGCGGGCAUGCCUGUUCGAGCGUCAUUACAACCCUCAGGCCCCCGGGCCUGGCGUUGGGGAUCGGCGGAAGCCCCCUGCGGGCACAACGCCGUCCCCCAAAUACAGUGGCGGUCCCGCCGCAGCUUCCAUUGCGUAGUAGCUAACACCUCGCAACUGGAGAGCGGCGCGGCCACGCCGUAAAACACCCAACUUCUGAAUGUUGACCUCGAAUCAGGUAGGAAUACCCGCUGAACUUAAGC
This 320-nucleotide unclassified non-coding RNA is filed under the name plant metagenome. Its description in RNAcentral is "partial contains 5.8S ribosomal RNA, internal transcribed spacer 2, and large subunit ribosomal RNA". The stretch from base 1 to 105 matches the Rfam family "5.8S ribosomal RNA", at positions 50 to 154 of the family's 154-position model. The record is from RNAcentral.